AACGUAGGAGACAAACGUUAUCCGGAGUUACUGGGCGUAAAGGGCGUGCAGGUGGUCUGUUAAGUCUGGCGUGAAAGCUCCCGGCUAAACCGGGAGAGGUCGUUGGAUACUGGCGGACUAGAGGACGGUAGAGGCGUGUGGAAUUCCGGGUGUAGUGGUGAAAUGCGUAGAGAUCCGGAGGAACACCAGUGGCGAAGGCGACACGCUGGGCCGUACCUGACACUAAGCCGCGCCAGCAUGGGGAGCGAACGGG
This 253-nucleotide ribosomal RNA is filed under the name uncultured bacterium. RNAcentral's name for it is "partial 16S ribosomal RNA". It matches the Rfam family "Bacterial small subunit ribosomal RNA", at positions 524 to 776 of the family's 1533-position model. The record is from RNAcentral.